CUGUGCUGGACCCUGAGCAGCCAGAGGAACGCAGAGGGCCCAGGACUGGGGUCCCAUGCCUCCCUGUUGUCCUUCAUCCUCUCCACCCCUCUUUGGGGACUGUCAUUCAGGUCUCUCCAUCACUCCCACAUUCAGCUGUCCAGGGACAGAGCUGUCUCCUGCCAGGCAGCCAGCCUCACAGAACUGCCCAGGAAGGCAGGGCUUGCUCAUUUCUCACAGCAGGGAAACUGAGGCUCGGGCUGUAUCCACUAAGAAGUGGCAGAGCUGUUGCUGGAAGCUGGGGCUAUGGACUCUGAAGUCCAGUGCUCAUUGGUUCCUCCCAGGACGCACUCCCUCCCCACUGCUGCCUCGGCCCCUCUCAAUCACCGCUCCCCUCUCUGUCUCCUCACCUCUUCUCUCACUUUCUGUCUUUUGGAGCUGAGUUCCCACAGGCCAGUUAGGAGGAGAGGCAAGGGAUGCCCCUUGAGGAGGAAGAGAGGAGCAGGGCAGGCAAGGAGGUCAGAGCAGAGGUUGGGAGGGCCAGCUACUGCAUGAA
RNAcentral lists this long non-coding RNA (535 nucleotides) under Rattus norvegicus (Norway rat). Its description in RNAcentral is "long non-coding RNA NONRATT019181". The record is from RNAcentral. Lineage: Eukaryota; Metazoa; Chordata; Mammalia; Rodentia; Muridae.